This 744-nucleotide long non-coding RNA is filed under the name Ananas comosus (pineapple). Its description in RNAcentral is "long non-coding RNA (ACOM_LNC024215)". The record is from RNAcentral. Lineage: Eukaryota; Viridiplantae; Streptophyta; Magnoliopsida; Poales; Bromeliaceae.
UAUAUCAUCUUUUAUACUCGAUGAUUAUAGUUGUAUUAAAGAUGUUUAAAUGAAUGAUGUAAAAGAUUUUAUGUUUAAUUGCAAAAGGUUAUAUUUGGAGAUAUCAUGUGAUGUAAAAGAGAAGAAAUAAUGUUACAGAAAAGAAUGUAAAUGUAUAAGUUGUAUGCAUGCAUGUGAUUUAAAGUUAAUCAUAUUACUUGUAUGGAUAAUUAGUUAAUACUUUCACUUUGGCUAUUGCUCGCCCUCGUGCGAGCCACUAUGUAUGUUUUCACUUGUGCAAAAAAUCUACUCGAUUUGUACUUGUGUUGAGCCUUGGACGGACAGGGGAGGUGAUGUCCGUUCGGCGUCUGUUCUACGUAUCCGAACUGACCAAAUAGGCCGAGCUCGGGGCGUGACAACCGUCGUCAUCGCACCCUCCGUCGCCAUCGCACCCUCCAUUGCCGUCAUCGUGAUCGGCACACCCACCAUCUCUUUUUCCCCUGUGGCUCUCUCUAUCUUACUCUCUCUCUCACCUCCCUUUGUCGCACCUUGUAUCUCACUCUCUCUCUCUUACCUCCCUCUGCUGCCGUUGCCACUACUGCCACCGUCAUUGUCGUACCUGCCUUCACACUUGCCUUGAGAUCUCUCUCUCAUUCUCGCAGCAUUCUCUUUCGUCCUCUCUCUUUCUCUCUUUCUCUCUCUCUCUCUCUCUCUGCGAUAGUGCCGUCGCCGACAAACCCACCGUCGCCGACAAACCCACCAUCA